This is an RNA transcript of Rosa chinensis, 2891 nucleotides long. It is a transcript of the gene named F-box protein At4g35733, with no coding region annotated. The transcript has 5 exons. NCBI's taxonomy places the organism in Eukaryota, Viridiplantae, Streptophyta, Magnoliopsida, Rosales, Rosaceae. The record is from RefSeq and is a predicted model, not a curated record.
CAGUUUUGUGGCAGUGAAGUAUUGAUUUAUUAAUGUAAACAUUUACGCAUAAAAUAAUGGAUCAUUUUCCGCUAAUUCUUAUGUUCUCUACAAAUAAUACGAUCGAUCAUAUUCGGUCGAGUCGUCAUUGACUAACUGUGCAAGUAAAUGGAGAGCGUGAACUGGACCGAUCUUCCAAAGGAGCUCUGGCUAAUCAUCAGUUCAUCACUGAAUGCUUCCAAAGCCGUAUCGGAAUUCUCCAAUUCCGCAGCGUCUGCUCCUCAUGGCAUUCCUCUCUCCCUCCUUCCCAGCAAUUUCCCCUCCUCCUUUCCCCCUCAAGUUCUCCUCCCCCGGCGAAGACUCUCCCGGAAACCAUGCUUCAUUGUUCCAAUCAACAAUCUACCGCAUGGAGUCAUGCAUUGACGAGGAUAACUGCGGUUCUUCACCAUCAAACCUUUGUUCGAAGCCAUGGUUGGUGAAGUUUGAGGAGGACCCCAGUUCUGGUAUAAUGCGUUUACUAGAUCCGGUGACUAGUUCGCCUCUCAGGUAUUCUCCCAAUACUUCUUUAAAGGAAUUAAACUUAAUUAUUGGAGUAUCGGAUUGUAGAGCUACACAAGUCGUAUGGACUUAAAUUUGCCGAGAACAAUGUUACUAUUAAUUCUGUGCACAAAUUGGUAGUCCUCCCUCGUAACAAUUUGGACUUUGGUGAUGUUUGUGCUGUUUUUAUGAUUUAUAAUGAAGGCAAGCUGGGUUUUAUGAGAUUUGGAGAUGAUAAGUUGACCCAUGUGGAUGAGGAAAACUCCUACUAUGAUGAUAUUAUUGUGUACAAGGGUCAAUGCUAUGUGGUUGAUAAGUGGGGAACGAUUUCCUCUAUCAAUUCAGCUCUGGAGGUGAUCCAGUUUUCGCCGCUAUUGUCGUGUGGAUUUGGUGGGCAGAAGCAUUUGGUUGAGUCGUGUGGUGAUCUUUAUGUGGUCGAUCAGUACUAUGAGAGGGUGAGUGUUCGUCACGGCAGGGAGGACGAGUACAUUUUCGGGAAGUAUCACAAUUCGCGCUAUGAUUCUGAUGCAAUCGAUUUUAAAGUUUAGAAGCUGGAUCAAGAAUGGAGCAAAUGGGACAAUGUGAAAAACUUGGGUGAUCAUGUGUUUCUUCUGAGCAAAGAUGGGUCUUUCUCUGUCUCCACCAGAGAGUUUGAUGGAGUGAAGGGAAAUUGCAUCUUCUUCAUUGAACGAGUGUCGCCUACUGUAAGAGCAAGGUAUCACAGUCGUGUGUUCGAUUUCUCGGAUGGUCGAGCCACCGCCAACUUGGCUCAGCCCUGAUUUGAGUUCUUCUGCAUCUGAAUUUCUUCUUCUCUCAGCAAAAUCAACAUGCAGAGGCCCAAGCUACAAUGGUGCGAUCUCCCAAAGGAGCUCUGGCAGAUGAUCGGAAAAUUCCUCGAAACCCGCGUCGACGUUCUCCGAUUCCGCAGCGUCUGCUCUCUCUGGCGCUCCGCCGUCCGUCCUCUAGACCCAAUCGACUCUCCUCCUCUCCCCCUCGGAUUCCCUCACGCCGGCGAAGAGCCUCCCGCCGCCGUCUCCCAGACCACCGUCUACCGCCUGCAGUCGCUGAUCGCCGGCGAAGGUUCCGAUGGGUCGCUGCCGUUCUUGGUGAAGUUCGAGGAGGCCAAUUGCGGCGAAAUGCGUCUGCUUCAUCCGAUCACGAACUGGCAGCUCAGGUUAUCCCUCACUCCGACUAGAAAAGAAUUCAACUUGUUGGAUUAUAGGGUUGUGGAGUUGGUGAAAUUGUAUUCUCUGAAAUAUGCCUACACCAGAAUUGAUGUUACUUAUGUGAACAGAGUGGUGGUUUUGCCUGCUGAUCAUUUGAGUUUGGGGGAGGAUUUUGUGGUGUUUAUGAUUUAUAGAGGAGGGCAUUUGGCUGUUAUGAGGUAUGGGGAUGAGGGUUGGAUUCGUGUGGACGAAAACAACUCUCAUUAUGAUGAUCUCAUUGUGUACAAGGGUCAGUGCUAUGUUGUUGAUAAAUGGGGCACGAUAUCGUGGAUAAGUCAGGCGUUGCAGGUGAUUCAGUACUCGCCGCCCUUGUGUGGGUUUGGUGCACACAAGCAUUUGGUUGAGUGUUGUGGUGAUCUUUGUGUGGUCGACAGGUAUCUUGGUAGUGAGCCUCAGAGGACGUUCAACUACAUACAUUGUGAUGGGGAGGUGGUGGAUUUUAAGGUUUAUCGGCUGGAUGAGGAAUGGGCGACGUGGGUCAAUGUGACAAACUUGGGGGAUCAAGUGAUUAUUUUGAGCUAUGAUGGAGCUUUCUCGGUUUCAACCAGAGACUUUCCUGGGGUGAAGGGAAAUUGCAUUAUGUUCACUGAACAGGACUUUGGUCCUUUACCAGCUGUAAUUGGAAUGCCAUCCAGAAGUCAUCACCGUCGUGUGUUUGACUUACAGGAUGGUAGCAUGAGCAAGAUCGGCUAUUCUCAGUUGUUCCGGACACCCUCAAAUUGGCUCACUAAUUGAUGUCCGGCUGCAUCCUCUGAAUGACAACGAACCACAAGAGAAAUUAAAGGCCUUUCAAAACUUGAAACAUUACUAACAAGACUGAGGAGGUUUUCACAAUAGUAUGUCUGUGGUGAUGAUAUAGACACAUUGAGAUAUGAUGGGACAUGCUACGCUAAUCAGCCCCGCCCCCUGCCCCCUUUAAUGCUCUGGAAGUUGGUUGCUGCUCAAGACGUUAGUUGCCUUUCUUGGAGAAGAUGGAGGGUCCGAUUCUCAUGAAGAGUGGUCUGUAAAACUUCUACCGUAAAGUAGUGUGAAAAAUAGUAGUCUUGUUUAUCCAGUGUUUAAUGGUAGUUUUGUUAACCUUAUUCCAGUUGUAUAGAUACAGUUCAUGUAAGAUAUUUGAUCGUAAUCGAAGUUAUCGUUUUAUGUUAA